Molecule: ribosomal RNA, 252 nt
Filed under: uncultured bacterium
Lineage: Bacteria
Description: partial 16S ribosomal RNA
Rfam family: Bacterial small subunit ribosomal RNA
Source: RNAcentral
UACGUAGGGGGCAAGCGUUGUCCGGAAUGAUUGGGCGUAAAGGGCGCGUAGGCGGAUACAUAAGUCGGGCGUGAAAGGCACGGGCUCAACUCGUGUGAGCGUUCGAAACGGUGUAUCUUGAGUGCAGUAGAGGAAAGCGGAAUUUCUGGUGUAGCGGUGGAAUGCGUAGAUAUCAGAAGGAACACCGGUGGCGAAGGCGGCUUUCUGGACUGUAACUGACGCUGAGGCGCGAAGGCGUGGGGAGCAAACAGG